Priapulus caudatus is the source of this 1015-nucleotide long non-coding RNA. RefSeq lists it as uncharacterized. NCBI's taxonomy places the organism in Eukaryota, Metazoa, Priapulida, Priapulimorpha, Priapulimorphida, Priapulidae. The transcript has 6 exons. The record is from RefSeq and is a predicted model, not a curated record.
AUGGCCUGGAGCUGUAUCUCUCAAACGACAUGCAGUUCUUUGCGAUAAGUCCCAUAAUUUUGAUUGCUCUAUACAAGUCGGCAUAUCUUGGUCUGAGUUUGAUUGGCGGUCUAAUAGCACUACACGUCACGGUCACUAGUGCCAUCGUUGCAGUUAAUGACCUUCCCCCAAAUUUUCCCGCUGACAUGCAAGAUCCAAAUGCGAUGGUACAUGUGCUAGAGAUGUUUGAUAAAGUCUACUUUAAACCCUGGUGUCGCGUCGGUGCUUACGCAGUUGGCAUGGCAGUUGGUUACGCCAUCUACAGGACUGAGGGCAAACUUCAGAAUGAGAAAGUGGCAGGUGGUAGUAAGUUGGCUGCUGGCAGCCUUCUUCUGUCUUUCAACUUGUAUGGUCUUUAUGGCUAUUACACGGCAAUCAAUGCUGGCAGCGAAAGUCGCUUUCUACUCGGCCACAUGUAGAAAUCGCCUGGUCAGUUGGUCUGGGACUCCUCAUUUCUCAACUGUAUUCAUGGAUAUGGAGGAGUGAUCAACUCGAUACUAUCAUGGCAGGGCUUCAUCCCUCUGAGCAGACUCUCCUACUGUGCCUACCUGGUACAUCCAAUUGUAAUCUACGCAUACUUCUACAGCCGCAGGGAGCUGGUGAUGUUUACUCAUUCUUGGAUGGUGGUCAAUUUUCUUGGCAUCGCGGUGAUGCAUACUCGGCUGCUGCUGUAUCUCUCUUACAUUUGAGGCUCCAAUGAUGGCCCUCGAAAAAAUCAUCUUUAAGAAUAGACGGACCUAGUAGUAAUGCAUUCAAGCGCCAUUUAUGUAAACAAAACUUGAAGUGGACGAAAAGAUAAGUAAAUAAGGUUGGUGGUAUUUAUACCACCGAUGUCUGUGAGUGAGUGGAUGGGUGGUUGGAUGGGUGCUUGAGUGAGUGAGUGAAUAAAUGUUGCACUGCCCAUGAUCAUUCAUGUUGCUGCUAGGUUGCUAUCUCAAAGGUGUCUGAAAUGUCUUAAAGUGAUUACAUCACCGUA